RNAcentral lists this ribosomal RNA (269 nucleotides) under uncultured Staphylococcus sp. RNAcentral describes it as "partial 16S ribosomal RNA". It matches the Rfam family "Bacterial small subunit ribosomal RNA", at positions 505 to 773 of the family's 1533-position model. Lineage: Bacteria; Bacillati; Bacillota; Bacilli; Caryophanales; Staphylococcaceae. The record is from RNAcentral.
GUGCCAGCAGCCGCGGUAAUACGUAGGUGGCAAGCGUUAUCCGGAAUUAUUGGGCGUAAAGCGCGCGUAGGCGGUUUUUUAAGUCUGAUGUGAAAGCCCACGGCUCAACCGUGGAGGGUCAUUGGAAACUGGAAGACUUGAGUGCAGAAGAGGAAAGUGGAAUUCCAUGUGUAGCGGUGAAAUGCGCAGAGAUAUGGAGGAACACCAGUGGCGAAGGCGACUUUCUGGUCUGUAACUGACGCUGAUGUGCGAAAGCGUGGGGAUCAAAC